RNAcentral lists this ribosomal RNA (234 nucleotides) under uncultured bacterium. RNAcentral describes it as "partial 16S ribosomal RNA". It matches the Rfam family "Bacterial small subunit ribosomal RNA", at positions 118 to 347 of the family's 1533-position model. The record is from RNAcentral.
UGAGCAAUCUGCCCUUCUCUUUGGAAUAAGCGUUGGAAACGACGUCUAAUGCCGAAUACGACCUCCUUUCGCAUGAUCGGAGGUGGAAAGCUCCGGCGGAGAAGGAUGAGCUCGCGGCCUAUCAGCUAGUUGGUGUGGGUAAUGGCCCACAAGGCGACGACGGGUAGCCGGCCUGAGGAGGGUCGACCCGCCACACGUGGGACUGAGACACGGCCCAGACCUCCGUACGGGAGG